Molecule: non-coding RNA, 83 nt
Organism: Ailuropoda melanoleuca (giant panda)
Lineage: Eukaryota; Metazoa; Chordata; Mammalia; Carnivora; Ursidae
Source: Rfam
GCCUGGGUGGCACAGUGGUUGAGCGUCUGCCUUCGGCUCAGGGCGUGAUCCUGGCGUUGUGGGAUCGAGCCCCACAUCAGGCU